RNAcentral lists this ribosomal RNA (1740 nucleotides) under Escherichia coli. RNAcentral describes it as "partial 23S ribosomal RNA". It matches the Rfam family "Bacterial large subunit ribosomal RNA", at positions 103 to 1869 of the family's 2925-position model. Lineage: Bacteria; Pseudomonadati; Pseudomonadota; Gammaproteobacteria; Enterobacterales; Enterobacteriaceae. The record is from RNAcentral.
ACCGGCGAUUUCCGAAUGGGGAAACCCAGUGUGAUUCGUCACACUAUCAUUAACUGAAUCCAUAGGUUAAUGAGGCGAACCGGGGGAACUGAAACAUCUAAGUACCCCGAGGAAAAGAAAUCAACCGAGAUUCCCCCAGUAGCGGCGAGCGAACGGGGAGCAGCCCAGAGCCUGAAUCAGUGUGUGUGUUAGUGGAAGCGUCUGGAAAGGCGCGUGAUACAGGGUGACAGCCCCGUACACAAAAAUGCACAUGCUGUGAGCUCGAUGAGUAGGGCGGGACACGUGGUAUCCUGUCUGAAUAUGGGGGGACCAUCCUCCAAGGCUAAAUACUCCUGACUGACCGAUAGUGAACCAGUACCGUGAGGGAAAGGCGAAAAGAACCCCGGCGAGGGGAGUGAAAAAGAACCUGAAACCGUGUACGUACAAGCAGUGGGAGCACGCUUAGGCGUGUGACUGCGUACCUUUUGUAUAAUGGGUCAGCGACUUAUAUUCUGUAGCAAGGUUAACCGAAUAGGGGAGCCGAAGGGAAACCGAGUCUUAACUGGGCGUUAAGUUGCAGGGUAUAGACCCGAAACCCGGUGAUCUAGCCAUGGGCAGGUUGAAGGUUGGGUAACACUAACUGGAGGACCGAACCGACUAAUGUUGAAAAAUUAGCGGAUGACUUGUGGCUGGGGGUGAAAGGCCAAUCAAACCGGGAGAUAGCUGGUUCUCCCCGAAAGCUAUUUAGGUAGCGCCUCGUGAAUUCAUCUCCGGGGGUAGAGCACUGUUUCGGCAAGGGGGUCAUCCCGACUUACCAACCCGAUGCAAACUGCGAAUACCGGAGAAUGUUAUCACGGGAGACACACGGCGGGUGCUAACGUCCGUCGUGAAGAGGGAAACAACCCAGACCGCCAGCUAAGGUCCCAAAGUCAUGGUUAAGUGGGAAACGAUGUGGGAAGGCCCAGACAGCCAGGAUGUUGGCUUAGAAGCAGCCAUCAUUUAAAGAAAGCGUAAUAGCUCACUGGUCGAGUCGGCCUGCGCGGAAGAUGUAACGGGGCUAAACCAUGCACCGAAGCUGCGGCAGCGACGCUUAUGCGUUGUUGGGUAGGGGAGCGUUCUGUAAGCCUGUGAAGGUGUACUGUGAGGUAUGCUGGAGGUAUCAGAAGUGCGAAUGCUGACAUAAGUAACGAUAAAGCGGGUGAAAAGCCCGCUCGCCGGAAGACCAAGGGUUCCUGUCCAACGUUAAUCGGGGCAGGGUGAGUCGACCCCUAAGGCGAGGCCGAAAGGCGUAGUCGAUGGGAAACAGGUUAAUAUUCCUGUACUUGGUGUUACUGCGAAGGGGGGACGGAGAAGGCUAUGUUGGCCGGGCGACGGUUGUCCCGGUUUAAGCGUGUAGGCUGGUUUUCCAGGCAAAUCCGGAAAAUCAAGGCUGAGGCGUGAUGACGAGGCACUACGGUGCUGAAGCAACAAAUGCCCUGCUUCCAGGAAAAGCCUCUAAGCAUCAGGUAACAUCAAAUCGUACCCCAAACCGACACAGGUGGUCAGGUAGAGAAUACCAAGGCGCUUGAGAGAACUCGGGUGAAGGAACUAGGCAAAAUGGUGCCGUAACUUCGGGAGAAGGCACGCUGAUAUGUAGGUGAAGUCCCUCGCGGAUGGAGCUGAAAUCAGUCGAAGAUACCAGCUGGCUGCAACUGUUUAUUAAAAACACAGCACUGUGCAAACACGAAAGUGGACGUAUACGGUGUGACGCCUGCCCGGUGC